AGAGACGUAAGGUCUCGGCGGACCGCUGAGUAACACGCGGAUAACAUGCCCUAAGGUGGAGGAUAACCUCGGGAAACUGAGAAUAAUACUCCAUAGAUCUAGGUUGCUGGAACGCUUCUAGAUCCAAAACUCCGGUGCCUUAGGAUUGGUCUGCGGCGUAUCAGGUUGUAGUGGGUGUAACGUACCUACUAGCCUAUGACGCGUAUGGGCCUUGAGAGAGGAAGCCCACAGAUGGACUCUGAGACAUGAGUCCAGGCCCUACGGGGCGCAGCAGUCGCGAAAACUUCACAAUGGGAGAAAUCCCGAUGAGGGAAUUCCAAGUGCUAGCACUAUGUGUUAGCUGUUCUUUUGUCUAAAAAACAGAAGAAGUAAGGGCCGGGUAAGACGGGUGCCAGCCGCCGCGGUAAUACCCGCGGCCCGAGUGGUGGUCGAUAUUAUUGAUCCUAAAACGUCCGUAGCCGGUCUUGUAAAUCCUUGGGUAAAUCGGCCAGCUUAACUGUCCGAAGUCCGGGGAGACUGCAAGACUUGGGAUCGGGAGAGGUCAGAGGUACUUCUGGGGUAGGGGUAAAAUCCUGUAAUCCUGGAAGGACCACCGGUGGCGAAGGCGUCUGACUAGAACGAAUUCGACGGUGAGGGACGAAGCCCUGGGGCGCAAACGGGAUUAGAUACCCCGGUAGUCCAGGGUGUAAACGCUGCGGGCUUGGUGUUGGGGGUCCUUUGUGGGCGCCCAGUGCCGGAGAGAAGUUGUUAAGCCUGCUGCUUGGGGAGUACGUCCGCAAGGAUGAAACUUAAAGGAAUUGGCGGGGGAGCACCGCAACGGGAGGAGCGUGCG
Molecule: ribosomal RNA, 832 nt
Filed under: uncultured archaeon
Lineage: Archaea
Description: bacterial SSU rRNA
Rfam family: Archaeal small subunit ribosomal RNA
Source: RNAcentral